UGGGGAAUAUUGGACAAUGGGCGCAAGCCUGAUCCAGCAAUACCGCGUGUGUGAAGAAGGCCCUAGGGUUGUAAAGCACUUUCAAUGGGGAGGAAAACCUGCCGGCCAAUACCCUGUAGCUUGACAUUACCCAUAGAAGAAGCACCGGCUAACUCCGUGCCAGCAGCCGCGGUAAUACGGAGGGUGCGAGCGUUAAUCGGAAUUACUGGGCGUAAAGCGUGCGUAGGCGGUUCGUUAAGUCAGAUGUGAAGGCCCCGGGCUCAACCCGGGAACUGCAUUUGAAACUGGCGAACUAGAGUUGAGUAGAGGGGAGUGGAAUUUCAGGUGUAGCGGUGGAAUGCGUAGAUAUCUGAAGGAACACCAGUGGCGAAGGCGACUCCCUGGACUCAAACUGACGCUGAGGUACGAAAGCGUGGGUAGCAAACAGG
Molecule: ribosomal RNA, 428 nt
Filed under: uncultured bacterium
Lineage: Bacteria
Description: bacterial SSU rRNA
Rfam family: Bacterial small subunit ribosomal RNA
Source: RNAcentral